This 549-nucleotide ribosomal RNA is filed under the name Fusarium oxysporum. Its description in RNAcentral is "eukaryotic LSU rRNA". It matches the Rfam family "Eukaryotic large subunit ribosomal RNA", at positions 76 to 648 of the family's 3401-position model. The record is from RNAcentral. Lineage: Eukaryota; Fungi; Ascomycota; Sordariomycetes; Hypocreales; Nectriaceae.
UGCCCUAGUAACGGCGAGUGAAGCGGCAACAGCUCAAAUUUGAAAUCUGGCUCUCGGGCCCGAGUUGUAAUUUGUAGAGGAUGCUUUUGAUGCGGUGCCUUCCGAGUUCCCUGGAACGGGACGCCAUAGAGGGUGAGAGCCCCGUCUGGUUGGAUGCCAAAUCUCUGUAAAGCUCCUUCAACGAGUCGAGUAGUUUGGGAAUGCUGCUCUAAAUGGGAGGUAUAUGUCUUCUAAAGCUAAAUACCGGCCAGAGACCGAUAGCGCACAAGUAGAGUGAUCGAAAGAUGAAAAGCACUUUGAAAAGAGAGUUAAAAAGUACGUGAAAUUGUUGAAAGGGAAGCGUUUAUGACCAGACUUGGGCUUGGUUGAUCAUCUGGGGUUCUCCCCAGUGCACUCUUCCAGUCCAGGCCAGCAUCAGUUUUCCCCGGGGGAUAAAGGCGGCGGGAAUGUGGCUCUCUUCGGGGAGUGUUAUAGCCCACCGUGUAAUACCCUGGGGGGGACUGAGGUUCGCGCAUCUGCAAGGAUGCUGGCGUAAUGGUCAUCAACGAC